GUAGUCCAUGCCGUAAACGUUGGGCACUAGGUGUGGGGGACAUUCCACGUUUUCCGCGCCGUAGCUAACGCAUUAAGUGCCCCGCCUGGGGAGUACGGCCGCAAGGCUAAAACUCAAAGGAAUUGACGGGGGCCCGCACAAGCGGCGGAGCAUGCGGAUUAAUUCGAUGCAACGCGAAGAACCUUACCAAGGCUUGACAUGAACCGGACCGCCGCAGAAAUGUGGUUUCCCCUUUGGGGUCGGUUUACAGGUGGUGCAUGGUUGUCGUCAGCUCGUGUCGUGAGAUGUUGGGUUAAGUCCCGCAACGAGCGCAACCCUCGUUCUAUGUUGCCAGCACGUGAUGGUGGGGACUCAUAGGAGACUGCCGGGGUCAACUCGGAGGAAGGUGGGGACGACGUCAAAUCAUCAUGCCCCUUAUGUCUUGGGCUUCACGCAUGCUACAAUGGCCGGUACAAAGGGUUGCGAUACUGUGAGGUGGAGCUAAUCCCAAAAAGCCGGUCUCAGUUCGGAUUGGGGUCUGCAACUCGACCCCAUGAAGUCGGAGUCGCUAGUAAUCGCAGAUCAGCAACGCUGCGGUGAAUA
RNAcentral lists this ribosomal RNA (582 nucleotides) under uncultured Arthrobacter sp. RNAcentral describes it as "bacterial SSU rRNA". It matches the Rfam family "Bacterial small subunit ribosomal RNA", at positions 790 to 1368 of the family's 1533-position model. The record is from RNAcentral. Lineage: Bacteria; Bacillati; Actinomycetota; Actinomycetes; Micrococcales; Micrococcaceae.